Molecule: ribosomal RNA, 498 nt
Filed under: uncultured bacterium
Lineage: Bacteria
Description: partial 16S ribosomal RNA
Rfam family: Bacterial small subunit ribosomal RNA
Source: RNAcentral
GAUGAACGCUGGCGGCGUGCCUAAUACAUGCUAGUCGAGCGAACUUUUGGGAGCUUGUUCCCUAAAGUUAGCGGCGGUCGGGUGAGUAACACGUGGGUAACCUGCCUGUAAGACUGGGAUAACUUCGGGAAACCGGAGCUAAUACCGGAUAACAUUGAAGACCACAUGGCCUUCACUUAAAAGGUGGCUCUUAGCUACCACUUACAGAUGGACCCGCGGUGCAUUAGCUAGUUGGUGAGGUAACGGCUCACCCAGGCGACGAUGCGUAGCCGAUAUGAGAGGGAGAUCGGCGACACUGGGACUGAGACACGGCCCAGACGCCUACGGGAGGGAGCAGCAGGGGAGCUGCCGCAAUGGACAAAAGACUGACGGGACAAGGACGCGAGAGCGAAGAAGGCCUUCGGGUCGGAAAGCGCUGUUGUUAGGGAAGAACAAGAAACAUACGAAUAGGGCGGUACCGUGGCGGUACCUAACCAGAAAAACACGGCUAACUACGUG